This 492-nucleotide ribosomal RNA is filed under the name uncultured bacterium. RNAcentral's name for it is "partial 16S ribosomal RNA". It matches the Rfam family "Bacterial small subunit ribosomal RNA", at positions 29 to 507 of the family's 1533-position model. The record is from RNAcentral.
AGUGAACGCUGGCGGUAGGCCUAACACAUGCCAGUCGAACGGCAGCACAGUAAGAGCUUGCUCUUACGGGUGGCGAGUGGCGGACGGGUGAGGAAUACAUCGGAAUCUACUUUUUCGUGGGGGAUAACGUAGGGAAACUUACGCUAAUACCGCAUACGACCUACGGGUGAAAGCAGGGGAUCUUCGGACCUUGCGCGAUUGAAUGAGCCGAUGUCGGAUUAGCUAGUUGGCGGGGUAAAGGCCCACCAAGGCGACGAUCCGUAGCUGGUCUGAGAGGAUGAUCAGCCACACUGGAACUGAGACACGGUCCAGACUCCUACGGGAGGCAGCAGUGGGGAAUAUUGGACAAUGGGCGCAAGCCUGAUCCAGCCAUACGGCGUGGGUGAAGAAGGCCUUCGGGUUGUAAAGCCCUUUUGUUGGGAAAGUAAAGCAGCAGGUUAAUACCCCGCUGUUCUGACGGUACCCAAAGAAUAAGCACCGGCUAACUUCGUG